This 680-nucleotide long non-coding RNA is filed under the name Mustela putorius furo (domestic ferret). Its description in RNAcentral is "lncRNA (ENSMPUG00000027194.1)". The record is from RNAcentral. Lineage: Eukaryota; Metazoa; Chordata; Mammalia; Carnivora; Mustelidae.
CUGCCCCACCCGCACCCACCCCUCUCCGCCUCCAGGAAGCCACACAGCUUCCCGGCUAAUUUGAUCAAGAUGAGUAAAAGCAAAACCAUCUGGUUUCUUUCGACAGCUGAUUCCAGAAUCGCUAUUGUAAAAGACCUGUCUUCCAGCUUAAGAAUUCUAGCUAUACAGAUUCCAAACAGCCGAUCAUCAGUGUGGGCAAGUAGAAGAAAAAUCAGUCACCUCAGCAAAGCAUUGGAUGGAACUACGCGGCACACGUCCAUCAAUGGGGUCAGGUGUUAAAGACUGGCAGCUUCUUGGCUUACCUUGAAACGUUUCAUGGGUAAUUGCAACAUCUUGUGCACCCCAAGAAUACUCUCAAAAUGAAAUUGCUCAGAGAGCUGUCGACAAACACACUGGUAACUGGUCUACCCAGUUCUAAUGGUUGGUUGCCACAUGUGUAUACAGGCCCUGUGUUUACCUCAGUGGAGCCUUUGGUCUGUUGGGAGUAGUUGUUAACUCUACAGAGCAUAUGGUCUGGUUCUGAUCCCUGCAGGGAUAUUGAUAUUCUGUAGAUGCACGAUUUGCCAGGUCAGAUUUGUUUUUUUUUCCUGCUUCUUUCCUCUUGAGAAACCAAUAUUUUUUCCCAUUCUGUAUCACAAAGAGAAUGUUUUGUUUUGUUUUGUUUUCUGAUUGGACUUUUA